AUCAUUGUGUAAGGUCGAAAAA
RNAcentral lists this unclassified non-coding RNA (22 nucleotides) under Dictyostelium discoideum. The record is from RNAcentral. Lineage: Eukaryota; Evosea; Eumycetozoa; Dictyosteliales; Dictyosteliaceae.